RNAcentral lists this ribosomal RNA (532 nucleotides) under Patescibacteria group bacterium. RNAcentral describes it as "bacterial SSU rRNA". It matches the Rfam family "Bacterial small subunit ribosomal RNA", at positions 1 to 575 of the family's 1533-position model. The record is from RNAcentral.
CUUAUUGAGAGUUUGAUCCUAGCUCAGGGUGAAUGCUGGCGGCGUGGAUAAGUCAUGCAAGUCAAGGGGGCCCGCAAGGACAACCGGCAAACGAGGUAGUAACACGUAGGUACGUCCCCCGAAGUCGGGCAUAGCCAGCCGAAAGGUUGGGUAAUUCCCGAUAGUCCCGCAAGGGUAAAGGUUUUUCGCUUUGGGAGCGGCCUGCGUAGUAUCAGCUAGUUGGUAGGGUAACGGCCUACCAAGGCUACGACGCUUAGGGGGGGUGAGAGCCUGAUCCCCACCGAUGGAACUGCGACACGGUCCAUACUCCUACGGGAGGCUGCAGACGAGAAUAUUCCGCAAUGGGCGAAAGCCUGACGGAGCGACGCCGCGUGAUGGAUGAAGUGCCUUGGUACGUAAACAUCUUUUAUCGGGGACGAAGUUUAUUGACGGUACCCGAUGAAUAAGGGGCUCCUAACUCUGUGCCAGCAGGAGCGGUAAUACAGAGGCCCCAAGCAUUACCCGGAAUCACUGGGCGUAAAGGGUGUCUAGG